GCCUAAUACAUGCAAGUCGAACGCUUCUUUCCUCCCGAGUGCUUGCACUCAAUUGGAAAGAGGAGUGGCGGACGGGUGAGUAACACGUGGGUAACCUACCCAUCAGAGGGGGAUAACACUUGGAAACAGGUGCUAAUACCGCAUAACAGUUUAUGCCGCAUGGCAUAAGAGUGAAAGGCGCUUUCGGGUGUCGCUGAUGGAUGGACCCGCGGUGCAUUAGCUUAGUUGGUGAGGUAACGGCUCACCAAGGCCACGAUGCAUAGCCGACCUGAGAGGGUGAUCGGCCACACUGGGACUGAGACACGGCCCAGACUCCUACGGGAGGCAGCAGUAGGGAAUCUUCGGCAAUGGACGAAAGUCUGACCGAGCAACGCCGCGUGAGUGAAGAAGGUUUUCGGAUCGUAAAACUCUGUUGUUAGAGAAGAACAAGGACGUUAGUAACUGAACGUCCCCUGACGGUAUCUAACCAGAAAGCCACGGCUAACUACGUGCCAGCAGCCGCGGUAAUACGUAGGUGGCUAGCGUUGUCCGGAUUUAUUGGGCGUAAAGCGAGCGCAGGCGGUUUCUUAAGUCUGAUGUGAAAGCCCCCGGCUCAACCGGGGAGGGUCAUUGGAAACUGGGAGACUUGAGUGCAAAAAGAGGAGAGUGGAAUUCCAUGUGUAGCGGUGAAAAUGCGUAGAUAUAUGGAGGAACACCAGUGGCGAAGGCGGCUCUCUGGUCUGUAACUGACGCUGAGGCUCGAAAAGCGUGGGGGAGCAAACAGGAUUAGAUACCCUGGUAGUCCACGCCGUAAACGAUGAGUGCUAAGUGUUGGAGGGUUUCCGCCCUUCAGUGCUGCAGCAAACGCAUUAAGCACUCCGCCUGGGGAGUACGACCGCAAGGUUGAAACUCAAAGGAAUUGACGGGGGCCCGCACAAGCGGUGGAGCAUGUGGUUUAAUUCGAAGCAACGCGAAGAACCUUACCAGGUCUUGACAUCCUUUGACCACUCUAGAGAUAGAGCUUUCCCUUCGGGGACAAAGUGACAGGUGGUGCAUGGUUGUCGUCAGCUCGUGUCGUGAGAUGUUGGGUUAAGUCCCGCAACGAGCGCAACCCUUAUUGUUAGUUGCCAUCAUUUAGUUGGGCACUCUAGCGAGACUGCCGGUGACAAACCGGAGGAAGGUGGGGAUGACGUCAAAUCAUCAUGCCCCUUAUGACCUGGGCUACACACGUGCUACAAUGGGAAGUACAACGAGUCGCUAGACCGCGAGGUCAUGCAAAUCUCUUAAAGCUUCUCUCAGUUCGGAUUGCAGGCUGCAACUCGCCUGCAUGAAGCCGGAAUCGCUAGUAAUCGCGGAUCAGCACGCCGCGGUGAAUACGUUCCCGGGCCUUGUACACACCGCCCGUCACACCACGAGAGUUUGUAACACCCGAAGUCGGUGAGGUAACCUUUUUGGAGCCAGCCGCCUAAGUGGGAUAGAUGAUUGGGGUGAAGUCGUAACAAGUAGCCGUAU
This 1491-nucleotide ribosomal RNA is filed under the name Enterococcus faecalis. RNAcentral describes it as "bacterial SSU rRNA". It matches the Rfam family "Bacterial small subunit ribosomal RNA". The record is from RNAcentral. Lineage: Bacteria; Bacillati; Bacillota; Bacilli; Lactobacillales; Enterococcaceae.